This is a non-coding RNA of Cinara cedri, 201 nucleotides long. The record is from the annotation of a GenBank genome assembly. Lineage: Eukaryota; Metazoa; Arthropoda; Insecta; Hemiptera; Aphididae.
AUAUUGAUUCUGCACACAUGAAAUAGUAUUUAGGAUUUCAGCAGCCCGCGACAAAGGAUUGUGUUUCGCACUAGUAAAACUAUUUAAAUUCAGACGCCUGUAUAUCCGUAUGAUCAAAUAUUAACAUAUAUUCGGAGUUAUCUACGUCCGAUCCAAUAGCGUAUGGUUGCGAAACGUGGUGGUCGGUGACAAAAGGAUACG